Lenzites betulinus is the source of this 99-nucleotide non-coding RNA. Lineage: Eukaryota; Fungi; Basidiomycota; Agaricomycetes; Polyporales; Polyporaceae. The record is from the annotation of a GenBank genome assembly.
GAACCCUUGGCACAGUGGUAGCGCGUGAGAUUCCAGUCGGCGGAGCGAUCUGCCCAAGGGACUUCCUCAAGGUCGUCCGUUCGAUCCGGGCAGGGUUCA